GUCGAACGCUGGCGGCGUGCUUAACACAUGCAAGUCGAGCGGAGCGGCAGACGGGUACGUAAUGGCUAUGAAUCUGCAUGGGACUGGGGGAUAACGUUCGGAAACGGGAGCUAAUACCGAAUACUCUCACAUGCGCCUAGGUCGGAUUAGCUAGUGGGUGGGGUAAAGGCCUACCAAGGCGACGACCCGUACCUGGUCUGAGAGGAUGAUCAGUCACACUGGAACUGAGACACGGUCCAGACUCCUACGGGAGGCAGCAGUGGGGAAUAUUGGACAAUGGGCGAAAGCCUGAUCCAGCCAUGCCGCGUGUGUGAAGAAGGUCUUCGGAUUGUAAAGCACUUUAAGUUGGGAGGCGUUACCAACAGAAUAAGCACCGGCUAACUUCGUGCCAGCAGCCGCGGUAAUAC
This 407-nucleotide ribosomal RNA is filed under the name uncultured bacterium. Its description in RNAcentral is "partial 16S ribosomal RNA". It matches the Rfam family "Bacterial small subunit ribosomal RNA", at positions 28 to 526 of the family's 1533-position model. The record is from RNAcentral.